Molecule: ribosomal RNA, 510 nt
Filed under: uncultured bacterium
Lineage: Bacteria
Description: partial 16S ribosomal RNA
Rfam family: Bacterial small subunit ribosomal RNA
Source: RNAcentral
GACGAACGCUGGCGGCGUGCUUAACACAUGCAAGUCGAACGAAGAGCGAUGGAAGCUUGCUUCUAUCAAUCUUAGUGGCGAACGGGUGAGUAACGCGUAAUCAACCUGCCCUUCAGAGGGGGACAACAGUUGGAAACGACUGCUAAUACCGCAUACGAUCUAAUCUCGGCAUCGAGGAUAGAUGAAAGGUGGCCUCUACAUGUAAGCUAUCACUGAAGGAGGGGAUUGCGUCUGAUUAGCUAGUUGGAGGGGUAACGGCCCACCAAGGCGAUGAUCAGUAGCCGGUCUGAGAGGAUGAACGGCCACAUUGGGACUGAGACACGGCCCAGACUCCUACGGGGGGCAGCAGUGGGGAAUCUUCCGAAAUGGACGAAAGUCUGACGGAGCAACGCCGCGGGAGGGAUGACGGCCGUCGGGUUGUAAAGCUCUGUUAAUCGGGACGAAAGGCCUUCUUGCGAAUAGUGAGAAGGAUUGACGGUACCGGAAUAGAAAGCCACGGCUAACUACGUG